ACGCGAAACUACACGCGCGCCGGUAAAAACCCACAGAAGAAGAAACAAGACGCGCAAAACUUUUGUUUUUAUAUAUAGACUUCAGACAGAAAUUAGUGCUGCAAACCGUUUGCGCGAUGCAAAGCCGCAAAAGAAAAAAAUUAUAGAGAUGUGAUGUGGAGAGGUGGAUCAGCACCACACGCGGACAGCAGGGAUUAAAGAUUUGAGAAUAGGACAGGCUUCGCAAAACAUGAUUUGGAGAGCGUUUGUCUUUGACCCUGCGAUUCUAUGCAACAGGUGACACGUUCAAGUUCAUCAGGUUCAAGUCCAGGAUGGGAGACCAGCACCAUCUCACAAAUAGUUUUGGAUGUUCUGCUCUGUACCAGGUUAUAAAGGACGAUUUCUUGAAGACACCAUCAACGUAAGGAGAGUGGCAUACCAUAGUCAUGGACUUCGAAAGGAAGUGGCAGUUUCCACAUUGCUUUGGGGUACUUGCUACCACUCCAGCUGUAGCAGACUGCUGACCACAACAUGGAUGAUGUGCAGUGGAAGAUUCACGGGAUGUGUGCUUUUCAACCGAUGAAAUACACCUCACAUCGCAAUUGUAUGGCAAUAGCAAAAGUGCAACGCAAUCUGAUGCGGGACAACUUUGCCUCACCAGCGGGUAGUGUUUAUUGGCAAGUUCAUCACAUUUUAAAAGGAACUGAUGUAGAGUUAUCCCUGCAAACAGCAGAUUAAAGCCAGUUAUUGUCAGUUUAGGACAUUCGUUUUCUUGUGUGUUCUAAAGUCCUGUAUUUGUAAAGAACACACAUGUGGUUCACUUAUUCAUUGUUUUAAGUAUUCUGUUUAUUGUUGUGUUAUUAUUGAAUACAUUUUAAUUGCAUACAAAUCAAAAGGUGCAGGAAUGUAAUAAAGGUAAUCUGCAUGUUGCAAUUAAGUGCCUUAUACUAACUUUAUUUCUUGAUCCACACUCAUUAUUCACAGAACAUUAACAAUGUUUCUAUACUAGGGCGAUUAAACAUCAACAUAUCUGAUCAUGAUAAAAUUUAUGGCGAUUGUGAUGAUAAGCUCUGGGCAUUUUUACUCAAUGUGGAUUAAUAUAACAGCCAAUCACACACAAUUAUAUUACGAUAUUUAUAUAUCACCCAACCCUUAAAGGAGCUCUACACGGGGAGUUUUGUAAUGUUUAAUUGUGUUAAUGUGGCGCACUGCAUGUGUUCUAACAAUGUAUAUUUUGUCUGUUCACAUAAUACCCAGAUAGCACACGUACGUCGCGGAGAUGUCUGCGCGAUGUCUUGUUUUUCGUCUGGAAGACGUAUUAUUUAGGGCGUUUGCUCAUCUGGAAGGCGUCGCCGAGACGUCCGACCCAGCUGUUUGCAAGACACCCAGCAGAUCUUUACAAGAUGUAUGUUAUUUAGAACGAUGGCGAGCCGCCGUUUCCCAGAUCUUUACAAGAUGUUAGAACGGCAAGCCGCUCUUUCACAGAUCUUUAGAAGAGCUUUAAAAGAUACGGAGCCGCUCUUUCCCAGAUCUUAAGAAGAGCUUUAAAAGAUGCGGAGCCGCUCUUUCCCAGAUCUUUAGAAGAGCUUAGAAAGACGGUAAGCCGCUCUUUCCCAGAUGUUUGUAAGAUUACAAGAUCCCUCAUUAACAAAUUGAAUUGCCCUAAACUACAGCAAA
Misgurnus anguillicaudatus (oriental weatherfish) is the source of this 1656-nucleotide non-coding RNA. NCBI's taxonomy places the organism in Eukaryota, Metazoa, Chordata, Actinopteri, Cypriniformes, Cobitidae. The record is from RefSeq and is a predicted model, not a curated record.